Molecule: ribosomal RNA, 403 nt
Filed under: uncultured Pseudomonas sp.
Lineage: Bacteria; Pseudomonadati; Pseudomonadota; Gammaproteobacteria; Pseudomonadales; Pseudomonadaceae
Description: bacterial SSU rRNA
Rfam family: Bacterial small subunit ribosomal RNA
Source: RNAcentral
ACAUCCAAUUGACCAUCUUUUAAUCGAGAUUUUGUCCCUCGGGUACAAUUGAGACAGGUGGUGCAUGGUUGUCGUCAGCUCGUGUCGUGAGAUGUUGGGUUAAGUCCCGCAACGAGCGCAACCCUUGUGUUUAGUUUGCAAACAGGUCAAGCUGUGCACUCUAGACAGACUGCCGUGGACAACACGGAGGAAGGUGGGGAUGACGUCAAGUCAUCAUGGCCCUUACGGCCUGGGCUACACACGUGCUACAAUGGUCGGUACAAAGGGUUGCCAAGCCGCGAGGUGGAGCUAAUCCCAUAAAACCGAUCGUAGUCCGGAUCGCAGUCUGCAACUCGACUGCGUGAAGUCGGAAUCGCUAGUAAUCGUGAAUCAGAAUGUCACGGUGAAUACGUUCCCGGGCCUU